UACGAAGGGGGCGAGCGUUGUUCGGAUUUACUGGGCGUAAAGGGCGCGUAGGCGGCCGAUCAAGUCAGGCGUGAAAGCCCCGGGCUCAACCUGGGAAUGGCGCUUGGGACUGGUUGGCUUGAGUUCGGGAGAGGGAUGCAGAAUUCCAGGUGUAGCGGUGAAAUGCGUAGAUAUCUGGAGGAAUGCCGGUGGCGAAGGCGGCAUCCUGGACCGAGAUUGACACUGAUGAGCGAAAGCUAGGGGAGCAAACGGG
This 253-nucleotide ribosomal RNA is filed under the name uncultured bacterium. RNAcentral's name for it is "partial 16S ribosomal RNA". It matches the Rfam family "Bacterial small subunit ribosomal RNA", at positions 524 to 776 of the family's 1533-position model. The record is from RNAcentral.